RNAcentral lists this long non-coding RNA (2618 nucleotides) under Mus musculus (house mouse). RNAcentral describes it as "SIX homeobox 3, opposite strand 1". Lineage: Eukaryota; Metazoa; Chordata; Mammalia; Rodentia; Muridae. The record is from RNAcentral.
GCCGCGUGUGGAGGGGGAGAAUUCCUACGGGUGGGUUUCCGAAUAUUGUGUUCAACUUUUUGAAAGCAGCUCGUGACCCCGAAACUGCAUCCCCCGGAGCCGGGGACCCAGGCGCCAGGCGGGCGGGUGAACCCGGCCAGUCCCUCCCAAUCCCCGCAACCCCCCGCCUCCGAGUGGGGGGGAUCCAGGCCUGGAGGGAGGCUGGGCAGGUGCCGAGGGCUGUGCCGACAGCGCUGAAAUCGAAAACCCUCGCCACUCAUGAAGAACUGAGGCAAAAGGAUCACAGAUGCUGCUCGGGGCCAGCCCUAUACUCCCUCCAGUGCCUGGUCUCCGGUGGACCCGCGGGGCUCUGCAGUUCUCUGGCGGCCGCGCCUUGUAAGCGCUAAGCCGGGAGGAGGGCGCAGGCAGGGCGCACAGCUCUGAGCGCGACCCUACCCGGCUCGGGCCCGCAGCAACCCCGACUGUCCGAGAGCCUCUCCCCAAGCAAGGCUCUGCGCCGCCCUCUGAGCCCACCUCCUGGCCACAACGCUGCCUGCGCUUCUCCAGCCCAGGCCGGAAGCCCUAUGCUGCCUCCCGAAGCCGUGAUCAGAGGAGAAUCGCCAGGCUGAGGGGGAAGCAAGGAACAUAUGGACCCAAGUAGGAUCCUGAAAGAAUUUCGAGAAGCUCCGAGCCCAAAUCAUACAGGCCCUAAGUAUUGGUCAAUCACCAGGAGUGAAACAGAAACUUAGACCACACACUCAAGUCCUGUUUCUGAAUGAGGGGCUCAAGUGCUAGGCCACAAGUGGCCGCUAUGGAUGCUGCAUUGUGGAGUCCCACCUGAUCCCUCCUUCAACCACGCACCUCAGACUGCAAGGAGAGCUAGAUGAGAAGGAGCUGGGGCUCUUGCGAUCUGCAGAGGCAGCACGCUGGUCAGGAAGAACCCAGAACACCUGCCUCAGACACAGCCAGUCUGUCCACACACAAAAGGCAGGGCUGAGGGGCUAUUAAGUCAAACCUGGAGUCACAGCCCCAAUGUCCUCAGACAGUCCCCAACCCUCUGCAGCAAUGUGGACAUGUGUCAGUGUGGCUGAAAAGCUUCUUCUCUGAGCUUUAACAACUUUCUGGUGUAACUUCUGAGAGGGCUGAUUGCUUAUUCAUGUGGAAGCAAGACGCCCAGUCCGUUUUGCCUGUUUUUGCUACUCUUUGUUGUCUCGGGGGGAGUGUUAUGGUAGCUGCAAAUGGCUUCUCCCGUGACAUUUGCUGACAUUCAGUGAAGUACAUUUAUCAGCGCUCGCGAGCUCACCUCCGCACAUGCAAUCCAUUUUGUUUUGUUCUUCAUGGUAACCCCCUUCCCAACACCCGUGCCCUGAAAAUGAUGAAGGGCAGGCGGCGCAUUUCUCAAGCUGCACUCAAAUGUCACUGUGAAAAAUCUUUAAUGGACUAAGUGUAGCUUUUCACGUUACAACUUGUCAGGUACUGAGAAAUUCUAGAGUUUCUCCUUAAUCCACGAGUCAUUGGAACCACACAUCUGCAGGUAGAGACUAAUUAUAAGCUGUACCAGUCAGAACUGGGCAAGCAGAGACCAAGGAGAAAACAUUAGGUCUCAGUUAAUUCUUUAUUACUAUCAUUAUUAUUAUCAUUAUCAUUAUCAUUAUUAUUCUCAUUCCACUUUUUUGCUACUUCGUCUCCUACUCAGAGAAUAUGCCAGGUAUGAGCAAUCUGUUACUCUAAUUAAUUGAGUGACAGCCCCCAACUAGCUCUCCAUGCAGGCUUACCGUCUCUACGCACUCAGCUUUCUCAGUAACAUUUUUCAUCUUUCCCUCCAACGUAUCUGACUCUGAAUCAUAAUCCUGGUCCCUUAGGGUUGGCCAUGACGGAGCCGUUGAGAGGAACUGAGAUGUGUCCCAUCUCCUGUCCACCUAGUUAUCCCUCAUCGGAGGGCAUGGCAUUGGAGCCCAGAGAUUCACAUCACCAACGUGUAAGCCUGCAUUUUCCUCCCUUGCCCCGCACCUGGUCGGAGCAGUGCCACCCACACUCACAGUGGUGGCCUACAGACUCCCUCUAAGCCUUGCAUAGGGUUUGCUCGGUCUGGUUUUACCCCUUUGAAUGGACUCAGCUCAGUGGUUGUUCUUCAUGGGUGAAUCAGCCCACACUCUAAUGGCCAUGGCUUCUAUGUUCUGCCCCUGCUUCUCGGUUCACAGGCAGGAACCUCAUCACCCAUGUGUUACUGUUACGAUGGGUUCUCUGGAAUGCUGCUAGCUCAUUCAGGUGAAACCAUCAUCACCACCAUCAUCAUCAUCAUCACGAUCAUCAUAUUCUAUUUAUAUGAGCACACUGUAGCUGUCUUCAGACACACCAGAAGAGGGCAUUGGAUCCCAUUACGGGUAGUUGUGAGCACCAUUGCUCACAAUUGCUGGGAACUGAACUCAGGACCUCUGCAAGAGCAGUCAGUGCUCUUAACGGCUGAGCCAUCUCUCCAGCCCUGCAGGUGGAAUUUUAGGAGCAAGCUUCAGAGAGAUAUCUUGUUCCCUUCCACAAUGUAAACUAGAAAGUAGGAUCUCACAAACAUGGACUCUGCCAGGCUCGUGACCUUCAAACUCUAGAACUGUUCAGAAUAAAAUUCUGUUCCUUAUAAGGUA